AUUUCAGUAUCUGAAUUGUCUGUUUGAAUCAGCAUCGUUGAUUGAUUCACAUUUUAUUCUUGUGCUACCAAUAAGAGGGAUUGAGUUCUCAAAUUCAAUUGUACUUGGAAUUUCUUGUUUAAGUAGGUUUGUUAGCAUAUCAAAUAACCUUGUUUUUGUUACGCUGUUGACAUUGGUGAUGGGUUUGUAGACUUGUGUGGUCAGUUAGUCAAGGUGCUUGUUACCUUACACCAAAUUUCAAGUUAACCUUGUUUUUGUUACGCUGUUGACAUUGGUGAUGGGUUUGUAGACUUGUGUGGUCAGUUAGUCAAGGUUGUGUGCUCAUUACCUUGCACCAAAUUUCAAGUUAACCUUUAAUUUUUUUAACAACUAUAUUA
This 377-nucleotide long non-coding RNA is filed under the name Malus domestica (apple). Its description in RNAcentral is "long non-coding RNA (MDOM_LNC002356)". The record is from RNAcentral. Lineage: Eukaryota; Viridiplantae; Streptophyta; Magnoliopsida; Rosales; Rosaceae.